This 253-nucleotide ribosomal RNA is filed under the name uncultured bacterium. Its description in RNAcentral is "partial 16S ribosomal RNA". It matches the Rfam family "Bacterial small subunit ribosomal RNA", at positions 524 to 776 of the family's 1533-position model. The record is from RNAcentral.
UGCGAAGGGUGCAAGCGUUACUCGGAAUUACUGGGCGUAAAGCGUGCGUAGGUGGUUCGUUAAGUCUGUCGUGAAAGCCCCGGGCUCAACCUGGGAAUGGCGAUGGAAACUGGCGAGCUAGAGUGCGGUAGAGGGCGGUGGAAUUCCCGGUGUAGCAGUGAAAUGCGUAGAGAUCGGGAGGAACAUCAGUGGCGAAGGCGGCCGCCUGGACCAGCACUGACACUGAGAGACGAAAGCUAGGGGAGCGAAUGGG